This 908-nucleotide long non-coding RNA is filed under the name Phoenix dactylifera (date palm). Its description in RNAcentral is "long non-coding RNA (PDAC_LNC002641)". Lineage: Eukaryota; Viridiplantae; Streptophyta; Magnoliopsida; Arecales; Arecaceae. The record is from RNAcentral.
UACCUUCCGACUAGCCAUUUUAAGUGAGGUCCUAAGUUGUUAUAUAUGGUAUCAGAAUAGACCUGAGCCAUAACCUAUGUAGACUAGGGGACACUGCAGCACGGAUCUAUUGGAGCUAACCACAAACCGAUUAUAGUAUUUGUGAUUAGAUUUGAAUCCUUAGCCUGACGAGGAUAUCAGGACUUGAACGGAGAAGUAUGUGAGGACUCGUGCGGGCGUGUAUUUAGUCCCACAUCGGUUUUUCACUGGGUAGAUCUUGGGUACUUAUACAGGAUUAAGGAACCCAAAUAAUACCUUCCGGCUAGCUAUUUUAAAUAAGAUCCUAAGUUGUUACAGGCUAUUAGCAAGCAAAAUAAUUAGUUAAGGAAACCGAGAGGAUAAAGAACUAAACCUGCCUCUAGAAUUUUCCUUGAACUUAAUUGUAAGAGCACUCAUUAAGGUUUGCUUAACAUUAUCCGAUCUAGGCUAAUAAAUUAAGGGCCACGCUUUUUUGAUUUCUUAGCAGAGCCAUUCCAAUAUUUUCGUGGUGAGAGGUGGUUGUCUCAUGCGUGGUCCUAUAAGCACAAUGUGGCUGCUUUUCUUUCUUUCGAUUUUUGCUCAUAAAUAGUGUCAUCCAACGAGUACAUGUCUUAAUGACAUCACCGGGCCCAUAGUGACGUUAGCUAGAUCUCCUUUCUGGAAAAAAUUAUAUCCUGCACCAGGUGUACCAAUAUAACUGCUAUAAUAUGUAGCCUUUUUUACCACCUCAGUGUAAGGCUAAAUAAAAAAAAAAAGAGUGGAUUUGGCUAAGCCUCUGCCCCUUCUUAUGAAAGAAUAGAAUCCUAACCAAGCGCUCGAGGGAAUGAAACAUAGAAAUAGAGUGCAUGGAUAGCUUCUAGAGUUGUGACGGUUUGGAGCACUCCGAUUCC